GUGUGUGUACGUGCAUGUGUGUGUGCGCGCAUGUACAUGUGUGUAUCUGUGCACAUGCACACACGUGCUGAGUUUCAGGAACAGGU
This 86-nucleotide microRNA precursor is filed under the name Otolemur garnettii (small-eared galago). RNAcentral describes it as "miRNA (ENSOGAG00000024571.1)". The record is from RNAcentral. Lineage: Eukaryota; Metazoa; Chordata; Mammalia; Primates; Galagidae.